UUCACGCAAAGAAAAGCAAGGUGAAGAUAUGGACGAACUACACACCCACUCCUACAUAUCCAAAAACAAUUGAUAACAAGAUUUUGGCUGGAAAGGUAAAGCAACAUUCUUGUUUUUUCUUCUUCCAGAUUUGGGAGGAGUGGAGGUUCCAUUAGCAUACGUUUUUGUUUUCCUUUAAUCCCUUUCAUCCCUUCCCCAUUUGGCAAAAAAAAAAAAAAUUGAAUUCUAUCUUCAGGCUUGGACCGUCACAGUGGGAAGUCAGAAGCCUAACUUUGUGAAUCACGUGGAUUGGGGGUCUUUAAUGCCACUGUUGAAGUAUCAGGGAGAUACCAACUUAUGUUGGGCGUACUUGACAACAACGUGUGCAGAGGUCCUAUACUUCAUUGAGGCCGGAGAGCGCAUAUCAGUGAACAUUACUAGCAUGAUCGAGAGUGCCAAAGACACCAUGUUACCAGAUGACACGAAUUUGCCUGAGGGUGGCUUCGAAGUCAUGGCAAAGGGUGCCCUUUGUCAGUAGGGCUAGCCCCCAAGGUAAAUAUAUUUGCAUAUUCUUCGUAAAAUAAAUUAUUAAAUUUUGGAUUUUGAAUGUUGAUAAUAAGUUGGUUUUGUUUCUAGGGUAAGGAAGGGCUGUUUUUCUUGGGUGAAGUUAAGAAAUUGUUGGGCGAACAAGUGAUGAAACAUGCACUUGAUUUUGGCCCAAUUUGUGCCAUUUUGGAUUGGCAUCCAUGCAUGUUAUCCUUUGUGAAGGUAUUGUCUUGUUACUCUUGCUCUUUUUUGAAUAUUAUGAGUGUAAAACUUUAACUUAUAUAUGGGUAGGCUUUGACGAAAGUUUAGAGAUUUGAGUUUUUGUACAUAUUCAAGGUUGUUGUGGAUUUUCUAGGAGUUGGAUGAUAAAAAAGGGCAAGGCUUUGGGAAUAGAUGAGCUUGUGCCUUGUCUUUGGUUUAAGAGUGUUGGGUGAAUUUCGUGGGGGCUAGGUAAUAGAAAUGCGUGAAUAAAUGAGAGGUGGGAGAGGUUAGAGAUGUGGUAAAGUGAGCUACAGACAUGUCUCUAGAGAUUUCAAAGUCGAGCAAAAGGUCGUCAUUUUGAAGAUGCGGAUGCCAUUUGUCUUACAAUGCGCUUGGUGUUGAAAAAAUUCUGAUAGAAUUCUCUCUUUUAAACAGUUUUAGGAGACCAUUGUACCCCCAAUGCCUUAUGGGAUUGCGUUAUGCACUGAAUACGCGUGCGAGAAUGAAGGGAAGGCUGUGAUCAAGCGGUGUCACUUGUGUGGUUAUGGAUACGGCUUGCAUCAGGUCUGCAUAGCAGGUUAUGGCAGCAGCUCUACAGGGAAAAAGUACUGGAUAGUGCAUGACAGCGCCUUUGGGAAGAUUAGGGUGGAGGGGGGCAGAACGCUUUUGGCAUUGGGUGUCGAGCAUGCCUAAUGAUGAAGUUCGGGCAUUUUGCGCCUUAGCAGGGGAGCAUUGGCCAUCACUAGGCCACUCCCUCUUGGCAAGAAGUGGGAGACAUUUCUUGCAAGGGUGAAGAGAGAAGAGCAUUCUAAGAUUGUAGAGAGGAGCUGGUCCGAGGGAAGACCUGAGGACGAAUGAAUGAUCCAACAAUUGAUACUAACAAUACUUGACACAAUUACAGGAGAGAGAUGCA
Molecule: long non-coding RNA, 1639 nt
Filed under: Malus domestica (apple)
Lineage: Eukaryota; Viridiplantae; Streptophyta; Magnoliopsida; Rosales; Rosaceae
Description: long non-coding RNA (MDOM_LNC013860)
Source: RNAcentral